Molecule: long non-coding RNA, 490 nt
Organism: Cornus florida
Lineage: Eukaryota; Viridiplantae; Streptophyta; Magnoliopsida; Cornales; Cornaceae
Exons: 3
Source: RefSeq, a predicted model, not a curated record
UAAUCUCUCUCUUCCCUGUCUCAAACCCUAGACGACCUUUCUCUUCUCUCUCUGUAACCCGAACAACAAACGGCGCCACAGAAGAUCCUUCCCUCACUGAUUCUGCAACAACAUCUGGUGUCGAUACAGUAAUUCUGAACUCGUAACGACCGGCGAAACAGUGAAAAAGAAGAGAAAGGUUUUGUUUAGAUAGAAAAUACAGAGGGCGGCAUAGAUCGGUUCUCCAACCUUCUGAAGGUCUGAAGGCAAAGUUUUAGUCAUCAAGUAUGCAUAAGAAAAAUAGCCCGAGUCAUAAGAAAAGUUGCUUCCAACUUCAAGGCUGGAUUAGAGAAUUUAUAAUUUUUGAAAAAUCCUUUUAUUUUUUUAGUUUUGGUUUCUAUUUUAUUCUGACAAAGAUAAAAGCUUUUUUAUUCAUAAAAUAGAGUUAAGAUAUACAAUCACAUUCAAUUGAUUUACAAACUAUUGAGGAAAAUAGUCAAUUAAAUUUGCA